CCUACUAUGCCUACCGGCGGUCCGUUCGGCCCGUCAUCGCCAGACGGCGACAUGGGAGGAAGCCCGGUGAGAUUCCGGCGCGGUCCCGCCACUGUGAGCCCGGCCCCGGCCGGGUGAGUCAGAGACUCCUGCCGUCCGACACCGCCCGGG
This 150-nucleotide non-coding RNA is filed under the name Streptomyces sp. The record is from RNAcentral. Lineage: Bacteria; Bacillati; Actinomycetota; Actinomycetes; Kitasatosporales; Streptomycetaceae.